This 2157-nucleotide long non-coding RNA is filed under the name Sparus aurata (gilthead seabream). Its description in RNAcentral is "lncRNA (ENSSAUG00010001032.1)". Lineage: Eukaryota; Metazoa; Chordata; Actinopteri; Spariformes; Sparidae. The record is from RNAcentral.
CAAAGAUCUAAAGUUUGAGUUAGAACGUCAUUUUAAGAUAUUUACUACAGAGUCAUGGAUAAUCUCUUAGUGUCAGGUCAUUUAAACACAAGAACUUUAUGAUCGACUGUUGACACAUUUAAUUGCUGUUAUAUCUAAACUCAAUACAACUCAAUGGUCCAUAGUUACUGAUCAGAACAAUAUAGGAGAUAUUCUGAAUUAAGAUUUUUAGUUGUCAAGAAUGUAUUGUGGAUUUGUUUAAUGUACAUUUUUAUAAGUUUGAUGGGAUUUACGUACUGAACUGAAUCUUGUUUCUGCCCCACUCGCAAGGAAAAAAGAAAACCACACCACCACCAACUACGAAGCCGACGACAAGGCUGACGCCGACUACGAAGCCGACUACGACUAUGAAGCUGGCUACGACUACGAAGCUGAUGCCGACUACAAAGCCGACUACGACUAAGAAGAGAACUACAACUAUGAAGCCGACUACGACUACGAAGCCGACUACGACUAAGAAGAGAACUAAGGAGAGAACUACAACUAUGAAGCCAACGCCGACUACGAAGCCGACUACGACUACGAAGCCGACUAAGAAGAGAACAACAACUAUGAAGCCAACUACGACGAAACUAACUACUACAACAUCACCAUCAUCAAGCACAGUCGCUCCUCCAGAACAAAAACCACCUCUCCCUUUGGUGAUAGGUAUCGUUGUCCCCUUGCUCCUCAUCAUCCUCCUCCUCAUCUUCUACCUGAUUCAUCGACGCAGGUUUAAAAGGCGAGGUAAAUAAAACCUGACACAGUAUGAGUGUAACAUAUUCUGCACACUUUGAUUUGUUAAUUUAUAUUUUAAUAAUUAAUUUGUAAAAAUGACAUCAGAAAGUCAGAUACAGGUUAUAACUCAGAUAUGUUUUUAGGUCAGUUGAUUAUUACUCAACAGAUUAUCAGCUCUGUGACAUUCACACUCUUUUUCACAGGAACUGAGGAAAGAUGCCACGUCUAUGAUGAGAUACAGGGUGGAGCAGAGUUUCAGGUUACAAACGGUGAGAAAUAAGAAGUGUUUCAUUCUAUAAAAAACUUCCUCCUUCCUCUUUCUGUGAGGAUCCAGACUGAUGUGAAAUGAAAUCCCACACUGAUGGAUUUGUGCUGAGUUUCCUAAAGUACACAGACGGUGGCCAACCUGAUUUAUAUGACUUGAACCAAAUAAGCUGUAUUAAUGUAUGUAAGUACCACUUCAUAUAUACAAAUGAGUAUUCUUCUAUUUUUGAUUCUUCCUGCAGGUGUAGAACGAGUCCCUGUACCUACGGAUGCAUACUGCAUGGUAGAGUAUACAGGUAAAUAAUUCAAAAUAUUUCCACUACCUUUACGAAGCGCCAAAAAAAGUUGCUUGUUUAGUGCAGAUGACUUCACGAUUUAGCACCGAGCAGACAGGAAGUCACGUACAGAAACAACGACUGCUGUGUCUCAGUUCAGGUCUGCAUCCUUCAGAGGAGCAUUUGAAGGCCAAUUAUGUCACAACGCUGCCUGAAGGCUGUCCCAGUCUGAAGGCUCCUCCAGAUGCUCCUUCUUUACCCUGUUUCUGGAGGAUGCACUGCUACAAUCCUUUGUGGCCUCACAUAUCCCAAUAUUCUUUGCGCGCCUGAAAAAGAAGAAAGAAAGAAAGAAAGAGAGAAAAUGGGGACAUCACGUGGCGUAGAUCGUCACUUUUGCGGGCCUGGGUAGCAGAAGUCGUGACGUAAGGGUAAAACAUCUGGUGACGCAACCAGGAAAUGCUCCAAAGGCUAGACCGUCACAUUUAACGAUGGCUGACGAGGUUAACAAGGUCUCUCUGAAGGACUCGCCUUCAAAGACCACAAAGGCCGAGUCCUUCAGAGGAAGCAGACCCUGAAUUGAAUCACAGCAAAUGUCUCAAAAAAGAGACAAAUACAAGCUCUUCUAAUAAUCCUUUGGUCGGCAACACUUCAUGUUGUUGUUUUUAUAGCACAUACCUAUAACUGCGGUCGCGAGUAGUUAUGUGAUUUUCGCGGGAACUCCUCGGUCUCGUGACGCCAGUUGUCCGACCGUACUCGGCGUGGUGGACUCAAAACACAAACGGUGGCGGAGCAAAACCAGACCGGAGCCGUAACGCACUGGAUACGUAUCUGGUGGAAUCUCAGGAUGAGAGUUGAUCAAAAC